UCCCGCGUGACGCAAUUGGUUAGCGUGUCAGACUUUUAUUAAUAUUUGAAAUCUGAAAGUUAGGGGUUCGAGUCCCCUCGCAGGAG
Fusarium musae is the source of this 86-nucleotide non-coding RNA. NCBI's taxonomy places the organism in Eukaryota, Fungi, Ascomycota, Sordariomycetes, Hypocreales, Nectriaceae. The record is from the annotation of a RefSeq genome assembly.